This 194-nucleotide non-coding RNA is filed under the name Roseivivax halodurans. RNAcentral also lists the same sequence under 1 other name. The record is from RNAcentral. Lineage: Bacteria; Pseudomonadati; Pseudomonadota; Alphaproteobacteria; Rhodobacterales; Roseobacteraceae.
CCAAUAUGCAGGUGCUUUGGUUCCCGCGGCGCAAGUCGCGGGUGAAGAGGGAAGCCGGUGAGAAUCCGGCACUGCCCCCGCAACUGUAAGCGGCAAGUUUCGGUCCCGAUGCCACUGGCGCAGAUGCGCCGGGAAGGCGGGCCGAAGCGCCCGAGCCGCGAAGUCAGGAGACCUGCCAGGGCGCCAUAGACGAC